Molecule: ribosomal RNA, 709 nt
Filed under: uncultured Actinomycetales bacterium
Lineage: Bacteria; Bacillati; Actinomycetota; Actinomycetes; Actinomycetales
Description: bacterial SSU rRNA
Rfam family: Bacterial small subunit ribosomal RNA
Source: RNAcentral
AGUGCUUAACACAUGCAAGUCGAACGGAAAGGCCUGCUUGCAGGGUACUCGAGUGGCGAACGGGUGAGUAACACGUGGGUGAUCUGCCCUGCACUUCGGGAUAAGCUUGGGAAACUGGGUCUAAUACCGGAUAGGAACCAUCUUUAGUGUGGUGGUUGGAAAGUUUUUUCGGUGUAGGAUGAACUCGCGGCCUAUCAGCUUGUUGGUGGGGUAAUGGCCUACCAAGGCGGCGACGGGUAGCCGGCCUGAGAGGGUGUACGGCCACAUUGGGACUGAGAUACGGCCCAGACUCCUACGGGAGGCAGCAGUGGGGAAUAUUGCACAAUGGGCGCAAGCCUGAUGCAGCGACGCCGCGUGGGGGAUGAAGGCCUUCGGGUUGUAAACUCCUUUCGCUAGGGACGAAGCUUUUUGUGACGGUACCUAGAUAAGAAGCACCGGCUAACUACGUGCCAGCAGCCGCGGUAAUACGUAGGGUGCGAGCGUUGUCCGGAAUUACUGGGCGUAAAGGGCUCGUAGGUGGUUUGUCGCGUCGUCUGUGAAAUUCUGGGGCUUACUCCGGGCGUGCAGGCGAUACGGGCAUAACUUGAGUGCUGUAGGGGUAACUGGAAUUCCUGGUGUAGCGGUGAAAUGCGCAGAUAUCAGGAGGAACACCGAUGGCGAAGGCAGGUUACUGGGCAGUUACUGACGCUGAGGAGCGAAAGCAUGGGUA